RNAcentral lists this ribosomal RNA (484 nucleotides) under uncultured bacterium. Its description in RNAcentral is "partial 16S ribosomal RNA". It matches the Rfam family "Bacterial small subunit ribosomal RNA", at positions 30 to 507 of the family's 1533-position model. The record is from RNAcentral.
AUUGAACGCUGGCGGCAGGCCUAACACAUGCGAGUCGAGCGGAUGAAGGGAGCUUGCUCCUGGAUUCAGCGGCGGACGGGUGAGUAAUGCCUAGGAAUCUGCCUGGUAGUGGGGGAUAACGUCCGGAAACGGGCGCUAAUACCGCAUACGUCCUGAGGGAGAAAGUGGGGGAUCUUCGGACCCCACGCUAUCAGAUGAGCCUAGGUCGGAUUAGCUAGUUGGUGGGGUAAAGGCCUACCAAGGCGACGAUCCGUAACUGGUCUGAGAGGAUGAUCAGUCACACUGGAACUGAGACACGGUCCAGACUCCUACGGGAGGCAGCAGUGGGGAAUAUUGGACAAUGGGCGAAAGCCUGAUCCAGCCAUGCCGCGUGUGUGAAGAAGGUCUUCGGAUUGUAAAGCACUUUAAGUUGGGAGGAAGGGCGGUAAGUUAAUACCUUGCUGUUUUGACGUUACCAACAGAAUAAGCACCGGCUAACUUCGUG